GGUGUCAGCCUGAAGGAGCUUGCUGCGUCUGGCAGAGACUCACGAGAGGGCAGGCAGUGACGAUCUCUGCGAGAAACAGCUGUCAGCACGGGCCCUGAGAGCCGAAUGUAGUGCCCUCACCUGCUGUGGGACAUGGCAGCCGGGAGAGAUUUCCUGCGGGAGAUGACGGGCCAAGAUGGAGCACAUGCCUGUUGCGGGCACUCAGUACCCGUUUGUUGACUGAACGAGUAACAUCAGGCCUCUUUCUAUGUUAAUCCUGGGAAGAGGGGGAUUUCACGGCAUCAGGUGAGUCUCAGAACGAGCUAGACUGCUGGCCCAAGGAGGAUGAGAGCCACGUAAAGCUGAGCCACCCAGCCACCACUGCCUGCAACGGACUGGCCCUGCUGAGCCCGCCCCAGAUCAGCCAAACAGCAGCCUACUUGCACCCACUUAAUUGCCUAAAGAAUUCCACAGGGUAGGUACAAUCAUCCCAUUUUGUAAUUGAAGAGCUGAAGUUUAGAGAUGAAAUGUCUUGCCAACCCUAGGACCUGCAUUUUGGACCACAGACCCAGAAAACUACCCGGAGAUCAUGUCCUCAACAGAUGCGAGACAGCCUCCUCCAGACCUUUCUUACUCUGUUGACUGUCCUUACGGAAAGUGGCAGCCGGCACACAGCAGCUGCUUGAUAAAUGUCUCCUGAGUGGACAGAUAUCUUGUCCGGUAGCCUGUAACCCAUGUAGGUGGGGAACGACCAAGCUUCACAUCAGUGUCAGGCACAUCGGAGGUCACAGUAUAAUGGGAGGAAGAUCUCAGGGUGGGCAGUGGCUGUAGAAUCAGUGGUCCCUCACUCUUUCUCCUCUGAAUCUCAUCUUUCCCUUGGUGACUUUGACCCAUCCCUGCACUGUUGGUAACGCAAUGACAAAUAUAGGCCCUGUCACUCUCCCCUCCACCCUCCAGGCCCCAGGCACUCUGGCCAUCUCACGCUUCCUUCAGGAAGCCAAGCUUCUCUUCUCUUCCAGGCCUUUUGCCCGUGCUGUGCCCUCUGCCUGGGAGUCCUUCCCGCCCCCCAGAUCUUCACAGGACCAACUCCUCCUUGUUUUUAGCGUCUCAGCUCCAAUGCUGCCUUCUCUUAGCGCCCCUUCCUGAUCAUGAUGCCCAAAUCACUCACCCUCUCCCAUCACCCCCAUCACUUUAUUGCCUCCAUAACACGAUUACUGCCAGAUGUCAUCUUGUUUAUUUAUCAAUACUUGUUUACCCAUCUUCCCACUGUUCUAUUCCCCAGCAUCUAGGACAGCGCUGGGCUCUCAGCUUUAGGUGCUCAAUACAUAACAGUUGAAAGAAGAAGUGGAUGAAGGCUGCUUUAAGGUGAGGGCAGCAGGAAGUGGGAUGGGGCAGGACAAGGUCUUCUUUUGGGGAGCUCCAUUCCUUAACGGCGUCUUGGCGAUUGAUUGUCAAGGCUGUUCCCCUUUGGGGCACUCAGCAAAGAAGCAAAUGAGCUGGAGUGGACACAGCCCAUAGGAAACGUGGCUGGGACCGGGGAGCCUCGCCUAGUCCUCCCAUACCAGGGAGACCCCUGCAGAAGCUGUUCAUUUUGCAGGAAGCUUCUUUUCGAGGCUUUCCUAAUCCCGGCCGGCCUCCCGGGGCUCCUCCUUGGCUCCUGGGCUGAGCAGGGCCAGGCUGGGCCGGGCAGGCUGAUUUCUACUUUAUUAUGUUUUAAUGACUCCCCCCUCCUCAGAAUG
This is a non-coding RNA of Globicephala melas (long-finned pilot whale), 1718 nucleotides long. The record is from RefSeq and is a predicted model, not a curated record. NCBI's taxonomy places the organism in Eukaryota, Metazoa, Chordata, Mammalia, Artiodactyla, Delphinidae.